This is a long non-coding RNA of Salarias fasciatus (jewelled blenny), 112 nucleotides long. RefSeq lists it as uncharacterized. The record is from RefSeq and is a predicted model, not a curated record. The transcript is spliced from 4 exons. NCBI's taxonomy places the organism in Eukaryota, Metazoa, Chordata, Actinopteri, Blenniiformes, Blenniidae.
GGUCUCCCCUGCUGACACCUAGCAGCUGACUUAGAACGGGUGGGGACCAUGGGAAUCCCACUGUUUAAUUAAAACAAAUCAUCCUGAAGGCCCACAGGAUGGGGCGGUGUCG